CAGAACUGACUGGCUCAGGAUUCUAAGGCAGUUGGGGGGAACUGACAACUGCCUCUCUCAAGCUGGGAUUCAGAUAGAGAGGCUGUGUGUCAGAGUAUCCCUGAAGAAAUCAUCUUUGGAGCUGCCUGACUUGGAUUAUCUUCAAGGAAAGGAAAUUUAAAGAUAGAGGUUAAAAUUAAACAGCUGCAAGUCUGAAGAAAGCUGUUUAGGCAUGAACUUCAAAGUCCAGUGUUAGAAUUAAAGGAUAUAAUAGGCUAAUUUUAAGCAUUUUAAAAGACUACAAAUAAUCUUCCCAUGUGCGCGGUGUGGAAAGGAGAGCUUGUCACACAUAUGAGUGCAUUUGUUCUGAAACAGCUGCAAUAACCCACACACUAUUCCCCAACUGGGGCUUUAUCUUCUACUCCUAAAGAUAGGAAGAGAAAGAGAAUAAGAACAGAAUUUCAAUGAACAGCACUACAGACAAACUACUGCCUAGCCAUGGCACCUACAUCUUGUACUUGUGUCUUCAUUUUUAUCCAAGAUAAAUUUCUUCACUAAUGUUAAGAUCUUUUCAAAUCCAGU
Molecule: long non-coding RNA, 561 nt
Filed under: Monodelphis domestica (gray short-tailed opossum)
Lineage: Eukaryota; Metazoa; Chordata; Mammalia; Didelphimorphia; Didelphidae
Description: lncRNA (ENSMODG00000051087.1)
Source: RNAcentral